AAAGUCUGAAGUUACGCUGUCUUUCGGUUGGAUUUCUGGUGCCGUGGUAGGGCUACUUCUACAGUCCCUUGGGGCUGAGCAGAAAUAAUGGGAGCAUGUGCUUCAGCGGGUUCUCAGGGCUCCUUCCUGCAAUUCAGCUCCUCUCUUGGUGCACCCAGGAUUGCCGUGGAGCUGCGACUUCCUCACUGCCUUCAGCAAAACUCGCAUGGACAGGAUUUCCUGCCACAACAUCUGUCUUAGCGAAAGCUUUCCUAUCACAGAGAAAAACCCGCUGAUUCAGGUUUGCCUUUCCAAUCCAAGCAAAUCCAAAACAUCUGCAAGAGGAACAACUAACCGAUAAAGGAAAAUAAAAUACACUUUGCUUCAAAGAAAGAGUUCAAUACAACUGGUGAACAUCUGUACAAACUUCAAGCUCUAAGAAGGGCUAAACCAGGUCAGAUGAGCAGCAACAUGAUGAUCUGGAUACUCACAAAACAGUUUUACACUGAAAGGAAUGCAGUGAAGGAAUAAAUUCAGUAGCAGCCUGUCCAAUGAAGUUGGUGGUCCUUAUGUUCUUCAAGAAUGUAAAUUCUUAUGGUCAAACUGUUUUUUGCAUCAUGAUUUGGUUAUGACUUCCAUCCCCCGGGAGAUGGAGCAGGAUUGGGAAGGAGCCUCAGCCCCCUCGGGACCCCUUGGUCACAUCAGGGCACCAUGGACGAGCUAGACCAGUCGCCCCUGGUCUCCUCCUCCACCUCCGGGCCAACGCGUCCGCAGCAGCCCCAGUUCAACUACCAGUUCGUGCUCGACGACGAGAAGGAGGAGGAGGAAGAAGAGGAGGAGGAAGAGGAGGACGAAGACUUCGACGAGCAGCUGGAGGUGAUGGA
RNAcentral lists this long non-coding RNA (863 nucleotides) under Columba livia (rock pigeon). RNAcentral's name for it is "partial uncharacterized LOC102086626, transcript variant X4". Lineage: Eukaryota; Metazoa; Chordata; Aves; Columbiformes; Columbidae. The record is from RNAcentral.